CUCCAGAUUGGAGUGGUCGGCUUUGGUGGCCGCGGUGCCGUUGGGUGGUGCAGGUCAAGUGUGCGGCCAUGGAGUAGAUCGAGCAUAUGUGCAGGUUAGUGAUGCCUUGUUCCUAUCCCUAAUAUUUUUUUAUGGUUAAAGUUCUCAGAUUUAGUAAAUUAAUUUAGUCUCAUGUGCAUGUGUGUGUACUGAACUAAUUCCUCUUGUGCAAGAUGUUGGUGUACUAAUGAUGCACAUUAUCUUGCUCCAUUUUAUUUUACUUGAUUAAGGUAUUAUCCAUGCUUUCUUGUACUGUUGAUUUUAAGAUCUGUGAUAUGAUACUACUGGGAUGAUUUAGCUUUUGUGUGCAUCUGUGAAGAAGUAGUGAGGAAUAUUGGGGGUGCAUCUGGGUUGGGCUUCUUUGUGAGUGUGAGUGCUGAAGGAAUGACAGAAGAAGAAGAACUCACCUUUCUUCUUUUGCCUUCUCCGCUGUUCCUACUAGUGCUGCUCCUACUUCCAGAUCCCAGUCCAGUAGGCUAACUUCUUGCUCCAGCCUUCCUCCUUCGAUCUACUAUGAUUUCUCAGGUCACCAUCUCUACUUAUUGUUCUUGGAUCUUUGCGGGUUGCAGAUAGAAAGAUGAAGACAGUGGGAGGAAGACAAGCUGCUGGUCUGGCUAUUUGGGAAGAAUGGAGACGUGUGAAGUCUUGGGAGUGGCUUGCUCUGCUCUUUCCCCUCUUAAUAUCAAAAAUCCAUCUCCCUUGGCUGGUAUGGCUGCCC
This 757-nucleotide long non-coding RNA is filed under the name Triticum aestivum (bread wheat). RNAcentral's name for it is "long non-coding RNA (TAES_LNC006128)". The record is from RNAcentral. Lineage: Eukaryota; Viridiplantae; Streptophyta; Magnoliopsida; Poales; Poaceae.